UACGAAGGGUGCGAGCGUUGUUCGGAAUUACUGGGCGUAAAGGGCGCGCAGGCGGCUCUGCAAGUCAGCUGUGAAAGCCCCGGGCUUAACCUGGGAAUUGCAUUUGAUACUCUGGAGCUUGGGUGUGGGAGAGGAGAGUGGAAUUCCCAGUGUAGAGGUGAAAUUCGUAGAUAUUGGGAAGAACACCGGCGGCGAAGGCGGCUCGCUGGACCGCAACUGACGCUGAGGCGCGAAAGCGUGGGGAGCAAACAGG
RNAcentral lists this ribosomal RNA (253 nucleotides) under uncultured bacterium. Its description in RNAcentral is "partial 16S ribosomal RNA". It matches the Rfam family "Bacterial small subunit ribosomal RNA", at positions 524 to 776 of the family's 1533-position model. The record is from RNAcentral.